GUGCCUCGGCGGCUUCUUCCCACGUCUUUUGAACACACGUCCGUGUUUAGGUUGAGGAGCGAGGACGCCGCGCCGCUUCCAGGGAACUUAAACAAAAGGCCCGCUGGGUCAUUUCGUGGGGAGACGGAGAAGAUUUGCAACUUUCAAUGAUUUGUUUCUAUUCUUUGUCAUUUUGUUGUCCAGUUUCACGUUUUGGACCUCAAAGCUUGGAACAUUUUCUGUUGUCAAUCAAGCCGUACGUACAGAACCCGGGUUGUUGAAGGGACAGCGUUCCUGUUUUUCUUUCUUCACUUCCUAGUUGAGUUUUCACUGAAGAUGUGCCAAAGGGGAGAGCUCAUCCCCGUGAAAGGCCCUUUCUCUGUUAGUCUUCUCCCUCCGGGCGUUCAGUUGUUUGCUUUAAGACAAGAAGACUGCAGAAAAACUCCUUUUUCUUUUGCAGCCACCAGGUGGCAGAAGAGCAUUGUUUCUAAAUAUGAAAUGUACUCGCACUGCGAGACGCAUUUGUGAGAUUCAUCAUGCGAGUUCUGGGGGAAACUUCUCAUUCUGUAGCUCAAUGUAUCUUAAAAGUACAAUUUUUUCUCUUCUAAUAACUGCGGCUUGUGAAUGCUCUUGUGGACCAUUGUUCUGAUAUUCCCCUUUCUAAAGGCUGUCAAGUCCAUUUCCAAUUCCCCAGAAUAAAUGAUUUUUUUUUUGUUUUUUUACCGGGCCAUGAGAAUUUCCUGCACAUCCGACAACUACAACUGAUGUUGGAAGCAUCAGUUUAACGCCAAGCACGUCGACGCCUCCCUGAAUAAACGCAGUCCACUUUGCUCUCUCACACACACACACACACACACACCUCGGGGCAACACUGCACAGCUAUACUCGGGUGCCAAAAAGAAGUCUGCACUGCUACAAGUAUCGAUCGGGCCUUGGCCUUGGGAGCUGUGCGAGGUAGAGACCAAGCCAGAACCGCCCGUGGCGAAAGCUCCACGUUUGCCAGGCCUGGACUGAGUGGGCUUGCUUCAAGACUCUCCCUCUCUCUCCCUCUCCCUCUCUCCCCCCUCCUCAGGUAGAGAGAGG
Molecule: long non-coding RNA, 1062 nt
Organism: Gasterosteus aculeatus aculeatus (three-spined stickleback)
Lineage: Eukaryota; Metazoa; Chordata; Actinopteri; Perciformes; Gasterosteidae
Source: Ensembl